Molecule: RNase P RNA, 310 nt
Filed under: Vibrio parahaemolyticus Peru-466
Lineage: Bacteria; Pseudomonadati; Pseudomonadota; Gammaproteobacteria; Vibrionales; Vibrionaceae
Also listed under: 2 other names
Description: Bacterial RNase P class A
Rfam family: Bacterial RNase P class A
About the family: Ribonuclease P (RNase P) is a ubiquitous endoribonuclease, found in archaea, bacteria and eukarya as well as chloroplasts and mitochondria. Its best characterised activity is the generation of mature 5'-ends of tRNAs by cleaving the 5'-leader elements of precursor-tRNAs.
Source: RNAcentral
GAGGAAAGUCCGGGCUUCAUAGAGCAAGGUGCCAGGUAACGCCUGGGGGGCGCAAGCCUACGACAAGUGCAGCAGAGAGAAGACCGCCGAUGACCCGCAAGGGAACAGGUAAGGGUGAAAGGGUGCGGUAAGAGCGCACCGGACGACUAGUAAUAGUUCGUAGCAGGGUAAACUCCACCUGAAGCAAGACCAAAUAGGCCUCCACAUUGCGUUGCUCGCGUAAGGAGGCGGGUAGGUUGCUCGAGCCAGUGAGUGAUUGCUGGCCUAGACGAAUGGCUACCGCCGCGCAAGCGGAACAGAACCCGGCUUA